AAUCCAGACGCCUACCGAGUGGCACUCAGGACCCUCAGGACCCCACCAGUGCGAAUGCAUAAACAACUUUAAAAGCCCAUUAAGAGACUCAGGGUAGCCCCAAAUCCAGACGCCUACCGAGUGGCACUCAGGACCCUCAGGACCCCACCAGUGCGAAUGCAUAAACAACUUUAAAAGCCCAUUAAGAGACUCAGGGUAGCCCCAAAUCCAGACGCCUACCGAGUGGCACUCAGGACCCUCAGGACCCCACCAGUGCGAAUGCAUAAACAACUUUAAAAGCCCAUUAAGAGACUCAGGGUAGCCCCAAAUCCAGACGCCUACCGAGUGGCACUCAGGACCCUCAGGACCCCACCAGUGCGAAUGCAUAAACAACUUUAAAAGCCCAUUAAGAGACUCAGGGUAGCCCCAAAUCCAGACGCCUACCGAGUGGCACUCAGGACCCUCAGGACCCCACCAGUGCGAAUGCAUAAACAACUUUAAAAGCCCAUUAAGAGACUCAGGGUAGCCCCAAAUCCAGACGCCUACCGAGUGGCACUCAGGACCCUCAGGACCCCACCAGUGCGAAUGCAUAAACAACUUUAAAAGCCCAUUAAGAGACUCAGGGUAGCCCCAAAUCCAGACGCCUACCGAGUGGCACUCAGGACCCUCAGGACCCCACCAGUGCGAAUGCAUAAACAACUUUAAAAGCCCAUUAAGAGACUCAGGGUAAAUAAAUAACUACCCCU
Long non-coding RNA from Protopterus annectens (West African lungfish), 725 nucleotides. RefSeq lists it as uncharacterized. The transcript is spliced from 6 exons. The record is from RefSeq and is a predicted model, not a curated record. NCBI's taxonomy places the organism in Eukaryota, Metazoa, Chordata, Ceratodontiformes, Protopteridae.